UACGAAGGGGGCUAGCGUUGUUCGGAAUCACUGGGCGUAAAGCGCACGUAGGCGGAUUGGUAAGUCAGGGGUGAAAUCCCGAGGCUCAACCUCGGAACUGCCUUUGAUACUGGCGAGCUAGAGUCCGGGAGAGGUGAGUGGAACUGCGAGUGUAGAGGUGAAAUUCGUAGAUAUUUGUAAGAACACCAGUGGCGAAGGCGGCCCACUGGACCAAGACUGACGCUGAGGUGCGAAAGCGUGGGGAGCAAACAGG
Molecule: ribosomal RNA, 253 nt
Filed under: uncultured bacterium
Lineage: Bacteria
Description: partial 16S ribosomal RNA
Rfam family: Bacterial small subunit ribosomal RNA
Source: RNAcentral